UAUCUCUGUAGAGUCUGCAUAUCAAUAAGCGGAGGAAAAGAAACUAACUAGGAUUCCCUCAGUAACGGCGAGUGAAGCGGGAAGAGCUCAAAUUUGAAAUCUUCAAGGUUCUACCUUGACGAAUUGUAGCUUAAAGAAGUGUUUUCUGUUGGAGUUUUGGUAAAAGUUCUUUGGAAUAGGACAUCAUAGAGGGUGAGAAUCCCGUAUUUGACCAUUAUUUCCAGCUUUGUGAUACACUUUCAAAGAGUCGGAUUGUUUGGGAAUGCAGUCCAAAAUGGGUGGUAAAUUUCAUCUAAAGCUAAAUACUGGCGAGAGACCGAUAGCGAACAAGUACCGUGAGGGAAAGAUGAAAAGAACUUUGAAAAGAGAGUUAAACAGUACGUGAAAUUGUCAAAAGGGAAGCGUUUGACACCAGUGUUGUUUUCUCGAAAAUCAAUUAAAAAAGGCAGGAUUUUGUGUUGUAUUGACUUUAUCAGCUUUCUGCACUCUUUUCUUGUCUUUUUUAAUGCACUUUUCGUUUAACAAGUCAACAUCAAUUUCUUUUGUCGUAAAAGGGUCAUUGGAAGGUGGCUUUCUUUUCGGAGAAAGUGUUUAUAGCCUUUGGCCUCUGCAAUCGGAGAGAUUGAGGUCUGCAGCGUAGAUCCUUCGGGGUUAGAUACAUUUGUGCUAAGUUAUAGCCUUUCAUAGACAACUUGUUGACUAUGAUCAGUCAUGUAGCUUACUCGCUUAUGCUAUUUUACCUACGCUUAGGAUGUUGACGAUCAGCUGAGCGCG
This 774-nucleotide ribosomal RNA is filed under the name uncultured Neocallimastigales. RNAcentral describes it as "partial large subunit ribosomal RNA". It matches the Rfam family "Eukaryotic large subunit ribosomal RNA", at positions 24 to 627 of the family's 3401-position model. The record is from RNAcentral. Lineage: Eukaryota; Fungi; Neocallimastigomycota; Neocallimastigomycetes; Neocallimastigales.